RNAcentral lists this ribosomal RNA (404 nucleotides) under uncultured bacterium. RNAcentral's name for it is "partial 16S ribosomal RNA". It matches the Rfam family "Bacterial small subunit ribosomal RNA", at positions 30 to 526 of the family's 1533-position model. The record is from RNAcentral.
AUUGAACGCUGGCGGCAGGCCUAACACAUGCAAGUCGAGCGAGCGGCGGACGGGUGAGUAAUGCCUGGGAAUUGCCCAGUCGAGGGGGAUAACAGUUGGAAACGACUGCUAAUACCGCAUACGAUAGGAUUGCCCAGGUGUGAUUAGCUAGUUGGUGAGGUAAUGGAUCACCAAGGCGACGAUCCCUCGCUGGUCUGAGAGGAUGAUCAGCAACACUGGAACUGAGACACGGUCCAGACUCCUACGGGAGGUAGCAGUGGGGAAUAUGGCACAAUGGGGGAACCCCUGAUGCAGCCAUGCCGCGUGUGUGAAGAAGGCCUUCGGGUUGUAUAGCACUUUCAGCGAGGAGGCGUUACUCGCAGAAGAAGCACCGGCUAACUCCGUUCCAGCAGCCGCGGUAAUAC